Molecule: long non-coding RNA, 7660 nt
Filed under: Capsicum annuum
Lineage: Eukaryota; Viridiplantae; Streptophyta; Magnoliopsida; Solanales; Solanaceae
Description: long non-coding RNA (CANN_LNC004422)
Source: RNAcentral
GCAAUUCAUACCACUAUCGCGAUGGGGGUAGAGAGACUGAAAUCUAUUGAAAUUUCUAUUAUUCUUGGAAAUUUUUUCUAUCAAUAUUGGAAUUGUAAGGUGACUUAUUUUUUUUUUUUGCUUUUUUUUAUCAUAUGAAACUAUGGUCCAUGUAAAUUCAUCGUCAUUUUUUUUCCCUUAUUUUUCUAUUUUUUCAUUUUUUUCUUCUUUUUCUAUUUUUUUUAUUCUGAAUCUAUUUUUUUACUCAUUUCUAAAUUUUUUCUUCAAUUUUUACUUCUUUUUUUCUUGAGAAUGAUCAGCGUUAGGGUUUUCGGAAUUCUCAGAGUUUUUUUCCUUAUUUUUGUAACAGUAAUGAAUGUUAUGACCUAAACAUACACAUAAUUGACAUAGAGGAGUGGUACUCUCAAAGAGAAUUUUUUGAAGGUGAAACCCAAUAAGAACAUUUGGAGGAAAAAGUUUGUUAAGUGGUGUCAAGAUACACAAUCUAGCGCAUCUUCCUCUUGAAGCAGUCCAUGUGCAACUGUCUAUUUUCAGAACCGUGCCUAUAGUAUUGCCAAUUUUUUGAAAAAUCUGAAGGUCAUAAUAUUCAGUGGGAAGUUUGGGUAGGCAUAUCCAAAUAGUUGUGUAGUUGGAAGUUUCCUUUAAGUGAUUGAACUUUUGUUCCCACUUACGAGUGGAGAGAUAUUGUGAGCCAAUGAACCAAGGUCCAUGAAGGAGGACUUUUUCAUAAUUUUGUUUGUGGAUAAACUUGAUAAGGUAGAAAUCUUCUCCUAGGUUAAUGUGGUUUAAAUCUUUGUUGAGGUUCCAUAACUCUUUCAGUCUAGAUCUAAGAUAGUUAUAGCCUAGACUUUUGCCCAGAAGUUUCACCAUAACAGCUUGUUCCCAUGGAGUAUAUAAUCUUUUUUUAUCAAAAGUCAAAAUGGUAUAAAAAAGGGAUGAUUUGACUUAUUUUCUUGCUCGUCGUCUAAGUUGAAGAGAUGAAAAGUCUUUUUGGAUAGAUUCUAUAGGGUUGAUGAGAUUAUCUAUUAAUAUUUUAUCUUUAAAGCUCAUCGUACUAGAAGUAGAAAAUAAAUGAGAAGAGAAUGUAGGUACCUAUUUAGGCUUAUUUAUACUUCUUGUCAGAAGAUCUUCCUCUUAUGGUUGCAUCACUUUAUCUGUGAUAUCCAUUAGAGUUGAUGUUGGUUGGUAGUUGCAGUAAAUGUUGAAGAUUUUCCUUGCUUUUUUAGAGAGAAGGCAAAGGCUUUCUCUCUCUUAAAUUUUCCUUACACACUUGGACUUUAAAUAAAAAUAGAAUUUGUCAACUAUCAAAAUUUGGGAUUCAAGGAAUCUUCAAUUUACCCCAUUUUUAUAAGGCAAACCUAACUUCAUUUUUGUGUAAGUCUAUGAGAUCAGUAUCACUACUGCUCAACAUACUCAUACGCCUGCAUUUUUACUACACCUUGCACACCUGUUAACAUGUUAACACAAAUUCCCUCUUUUGACAUCAUUAAAAAUUAGAUAGAGAUAAUGUUAGGGAUAAAGUAGAUAGUAAAGAACUCAAUGUCAUUGAGGCAAUAGAGACACAAUUAAGAAAGUCACAUAAGAUUCACAAGUAGCAGUAACAGGCAUAAGGCGAAAAUUAUAACAAGAUAAGCACAACAUUAAGACAAUUAAUGAUACAAAACAAAACAUCCAAAAAUUAGUUACAAAGUAUCAAAAAUAAAUUGAUGUAUCAUCAGAACAAAAAAAUCAAAGAUAUCAAGGUUUAAGAGGAAGAUAAAGGAUUGAACUGAGCUCCAAAAAGAGAGCAAUGAGCUGCUGGAUUUACUCAAAAUGAAUGCUCUGCAUUUUAAUCAUUUCUGAUUUAAGGGAAUCUACCUGUGCUUGUGACAUUUUCACACACUCCCUUAAACCAAAUUUUCUUCCUUUAACUGGGCAAUAUCCUUCUAUGUUGCUUUCAAGUCCAUAGGUCAAGUGAUAGGGAUAGUGCACUUCUUUCCUAUAGUAUUUUCACUAAAGUAAUCACACUCAUUUAGGGUAAAGAGUGUAACAUGUCAGACCUUGUUGCAACAAUACCUUUUACUAGGGGUACAUUAAAUUUUACAAACACAACAAAGAGAAGAAAAUCAUAUGCAAGACUAUAAGGCUCAGUCUUAGAAGAGGUCACACUCCUCGUAUGUUUGAUCAUCAAUGCAAUGAGGUAUAUCUUCUCACUCAUGUCUAGGACAUUCAUUAUCCUUAGAUCUCUGAAGCAAGAAUUUGAUUUUCUCCCUUUCCUGGGCAGUAUCUCCUUGUGCACAAUAUCAAACAACCUAUGGCUAGGAGUUAUCUCUCCACUAUUUACUUUUUCAGGAUUAUUCUUUUUCUUUUCUUUAGUGAACUUAUUGAUAAGAAAACACUCAACAUCCUUCUUCCACACAUAUUCUUUUAACUAUUCAGAGGGAACACCUAAUACUUUUUCUAGUCUUAUAGGAUCAAGAAUAAUUUCAACUCCCCUUACACUAAAACUGAUCAUCCACCUAUCCAAGAACUUCAAAUUAACAUAGAAUUCUACUACCUCAAAUUUAUGUAACACAUGUUAUUCUAUCAAAAACAAGUGAUUCCACCCCUGAAACCUAAGUUUUUUAAGUAGUUAAACAAUGGAAAGAUUAUCAAUUACCUCUUUAGCAAAAGUUCUACCCUUGAGCAUCAAUUGAGUAGAGUAGUAGCCAAUGAAACUCAAUCUCAAGAACUUUUCAUAGUUCCUGUUUACCUUUCCCUUCUUCUCAGUAAUUUCCUCUUCUUCAUCCUAUUCCUCCAUAUAUGUAUCUUCAUCCUCAUUAAUCUCUAUAGGUUCAUUAUUAUCAUCUAUUUUAUUCUUUCCUCUAGCCACCUUAUCUUUCUUUUCCUUUAUAGCCUUUCUCACUUCAGCAACCUUUUUUCCUAGGAUUAGUUAUUUUUGAAAGAAAGGCAGGAGAGAUUUGAGGAACUACCUUUGAUUUGGGGUGCAUUUAGACUUUACGCUUUUGUGCAUCCCUUUUUUGUAAUCAGGAAUAAGAUUAAUGCUUGAGAAAUUUAUUUGGAGUUUAUCAGAAUAUCCCCAUCACUAACAAUUUUUUCCUCCUUAAAAAAUAAUUUAGGGUUAUGAGCAGGGACUGGAGUAGUGACUGCUCCUUCAGAUGUCCAUGAAUAGUUGAUAGAAUUUGACUUUUGAACAGGUGGAUAUAAGGGUCUUGGUGAGGAAUUUAGAGAUGGAAUGAGUGAAGAUUUCAGGAGAAGAGAAUGGAAGAGACGGUGAGAAAGAUCUAGAUUUACGUUCUCCCUAAGAAGGUACACUAGAGGAGAGACCCUCAUAAUUGAAAUAAUACACAAGAGAGUGAAAUUUUUACACAUUAGGUUUUGAGGAUGAAGGACUUAGGGAAGCCAUUGGCGGAGAAAAGAGUUUUCUUUUUUGUUAGGAAAGUGAGUUUGAGAGAUAUUUGAAGUUUGUAGUGGAGCUUCGGUGAAUGUGGAGAGUUUUUAUAGAAAAGAAGAAAUAAUUGAAGGAUUGUAUAAUGAUUGAAGUGAUGAUUGUCAGUUUUAAAAGGAGAGAGCAAUGAUUGCAAAAAGAGGUAUUUAUUUAUUUUUCUCGCUUAAGAUUUUGUCUUUUGUAGGUGUUUGAGGUUUGAUAAUUAGGAUCAGAUCUUAAGACAGAAACAUAAUACUUUUAAUAUUUGAAAUAACUUGAAUUCUUUGCAAAGGAUCUGCAUAUAUGACUUGAGAACUAGGUCCUUAUGUGUCUUCUUGAGCUUUUACUUUGAAAUUAAGAUUCACUUUGAUGGUGAGAACUCAAGUGGUAGAUAUGAGCCUACCAAGGAACAAAGACUAAGUUAAUUACCAUAUCUAAUAAUUUGCAAGCGUGAUCUCUUACCUUAGUUUCAUAGUCAAGCACUUGGGGGAAGACUGUAGUCCUUCUUCUAUAAGAUUUCAUUAUCCAAGGGCCAAUCUAUUCUUCUCCAAAUGUUCUCUCUCCAAUGCUUUGAUGAAUAUAUCAGAAAUUUGUUCAUCACUUCCACAAAACACUAUUUCUAUCAACCCUUUUUCUACAUAAUCUAUGAGAAAAUGAUAUCUUACAUUAAUGUAUUUGAUUUUACUAUGUUGCACUGAAUUUUUAGCCAAAUUAACUGCACUUGUAUUAUCACACAUGAUAGAAAUACAUUCGAUGUUGAUUUCAUAGCCACUAAGUUGUUGUCUUAUCUGAUCCAGAGAAGUUAAGAACAAAAGGAUAUAGCAACUUUAUAUUCAGCCUCAACAAUUGAAAGAGCCACAGAGUUUUAUUUCUUUGUUGCCCAGGAGAAAAGACACAGUUUCAAGAAGUGAUCCAAUCCAGAAGUACUUUUUUUGUCCACCAAAUAUCCCGCAUGAUCAGCAUUAGGAUAACAAACAAUAUCAAAGAAAUCUCCAUCAGAAUACCAUAUAAACAUUCCUUGAGUGCCUUUGAGGUACCUAAAAAUUCUCUUGACAGUCCUUAAGUAAGAUUCUUUGGGAGAUGAUUGAAAUCUAGUACAUAUACCUAUACUAUACACAAUGUUAGUUCUACUAUCUGUAAGAUAUAGUAAGGAGACAAUCAUUCCUUAAUACUUUAUUUUAGCAACAGACACACCAGCCUCAUCUCUAUCAAGUGUUGUGGUAGUAACACUAGGAGUACUGCUUGUCUUAGCUCCAUUCAUCUCAAAUUUCUUUGAUAAUUCCUUGUUAUACUUUUGUCUAUGUAUGUAUGUUCCAUCCUUGGUUUGAUUGAUGUGUAAUUUUAAUAAAAAAGGUCAAUUCUCUCAUCAUGCUCAUUUUUUUUCUACUGCUUUCAUACCACAAAGAAGUCCAAUAGUUGUGCUUACUUCUUCCUUCAACCCUUUCAAACUCACUGCUCAUUAAUGAGGAGCAUUUCUUGCAUAAAACACGAUCUAUAGCUCCAAAUAUUAUAUCAUCUACAUCGAUUUGCACAAAAAAAGAUUGAAUUCUUCCUUUUUGUGAACAGUCUGUUGUCUAUUGUCUCUCUAGUAUAUCCAUGUUUUAGAAAAAAAGAGGACAGUUUGUCAUACGAUGAUUUUGGGGCCUGCUUAAGAUGAUAUAAAGCUUUGUCAAGAUUAUACACAUGAUCUGGAUAUUCAAAGAUCUCAAAACUUUGUGAUUGUUUCACAUAAACUUCUGUAUUCAGAUAAGCAUUCAAGAGGACACUUUUCACAUCCAUUUGAAACAGUUUUAAUUCCUUAUGGGAAGCAAAUACCAUCAGCAUUCUAAUGGCUUCCAUUCGAGCAGUAGGGGAAAAUAUUUCAUCAUAGUCCACCUUCAUCUUAAUUGUAUUCUUGCACCACCAGUUUGGCCUUGUUCCUAGUGACUACACCUUGAUCAUCUUACUUAUUUCUAAAUACCCACCCAAUUCAUAUGACAGUCCUAUAUGGAGACUUAGAAACUAAGUGGCAUAUCUUACUUCUGUAAAAUUGAUGUAACUCUUUUUGUGUAAAAACAAUGUAAUAUGUAUCUUACAAAGCUUCUUUGAUGUUCUUUGGUUUAAUCAGUGACAGGUAGGCUAAGUAAGUACACAUACUUCUCAACUUAUUUUUAGUCUGCAUGUCUGAAUUUAGGGGGAUAUAAUAUUUUCAAUGGAAUGUGACUCUUAUAUUCCUAAUUUAUUUUAGUAUUAGGCGGAGAAGUACUAGGUGCAUCAAGAUGAAAGGAUGAAUAAUCUGAAUGAGCAGUUCCCCCGAGGAAGACACCUCCUCCUGAGUUAUAGCAUAUUUCUUAACAGCUGGAGUGGUGUCCUUGUGUUCUUCUUUAUCUUUUGAAACAUGGGUCAGUUUAAACCUACAAUUGCCCUCAUCUAUGCAGCUGGAACUGUCCUCAUGAUUCGCUUCAUCAAAUAUGACAUAAAUGAAUUUCUUCUACCAACUAGUUCUCUUAUUGUAGAUUUUAUGAGCCUUACACUGUGAAGAAUAUCUCAGAAGAUACCUUUAUCAAUUUUUGCAUCAAAUUUUCCUAAUAUGUCCUUUCCAUUAUUGUAAAUAAAAUAUUUACACCCAAAAGGUCUUAGAUAGGUUAGAUUUGGCUUUCUACCCUUGAGUAGUUCAUAAGGGGUUUUGUCUAGCAGUGAUCUAAUCAUACACCUGUUAAGAAGAUAAUAUGCAAUGUUUACUACUUCAGCUUAAACAUUUUAAGGAAGACCACUUGCUAUGAUCAUUGUUCUAGCCAUAUCCUCUAGAGAUUUAUUCUUUCUUUCAAUCAUACCAUUUUCACGAGGAGUUCUAACUGCAGAGAAGUUGUCAUCAAUACUAUUUUCAACACAAAAGGUCAAGAAGUUUGAAUUUUUAAAUUCAAUAUCAUGAUCAGACCUUAUUCCUAUAACUUUAGCAUUCAACUUCUUUUGAACAAUUUUAACUAAUAUUUGGAAUACCUCAAGUGUCUUAUCCUUAAAACUCAAGAAGAGUGUCCAUGUGAAUCUUGAAUAUUCACCUACAAUCACAAAUACAUGCCUCUUCGCUCCUCUACUGAGAAUUCUCAUUGGACCACACAAGUCCAUAUACAAUAAUUGAAGAGGUUUAGUGGUGCUUACCAUUCUUUUAGGCUUGAAUGAGGAUCUAACAUAUUUUAUCUUUUCACAAACAUCACACACAAGAGAUUCGUUCAGUUUGUUUUGUGAUAAUCCUAACACCAAAUCAAUUGCCACUAGUUUGUUGAUUGUUGAGUAGCUAGCAUGUCCUAACAUUUUAUGUCAUAAUAAUGAGCUAAUUGUCAUAACACUAAAGCAUGUCAGUUCAAAUUUUGUAGUAUCCAUAAUAUCUACUUUGUACAUAUUUUUAUGCUUUCUCCCUUGAGUACAAUAAUCCCACUAACAGAGUUUGUCACAAUACAGUCCGUAGGAAUAAACUUCAUAUUAUUUCCCUUAUCGCACAUUUGAGAUAUGCUUAGAAGAUUGUGUUUUAGUUCAAAUACAUAGUGCAAAUUAUAAAUAAAACGUGACAUUGUUCUUCCAACCUUUCCUACACCAAUAAAUUCUCAAAUUUUACUAUUUUCAAAAAGCAUUACUUCCACCUUAAUAGUCUAUAAGAGAGAGAAAGUAUUCUUUAUUUUCAGUCAUAUGUCUAGAGCAAGCAUUGUCAAGGUACCAAUGCUUGUUUUUUCCUUCCUUCUUAUCCUACAAAUAUAAUUUAGAGGUUAGUUUUGGGCACCCAGAUUAACUUGUGCCUUUUUUUGUGAGAAAAAGGAUGGAUCAAAUCUCUUUCAGCCCAAUGAGGAAGUUCUCUCUUAAUGGACAACAUUUUAUUUAGUUUCUGAGUCUUGUAUCUGUUUAUGAACUUGAAAUUUCUUUUUCACCUUUAUGUGAAGGAUAUUAAUUUUUGAGGUGUCCUUCUUUCCCAUAAAUAAACCAUAUUUAUAGACAAAUUUGCUUUGUAAUGCUCAGGUCUGAAUCCUAGCCCAUGUUUAGAGAUGGAAUAACUACUUUGAAUAUGAGGGGGAAGGGUAUAGGACUUCAUCCACUUGAUUAUGUUCUAGAUCAAGUUUAUCCUUGUUCAAAUCUUUUAGCAAUAAUGUAUUUUUCUCAGAUAAUUCAUCAAGGCUAAUAUUUAGUUUCUUUAUGUCCUCCUUAUUUUGCUAAUGAAUGGUGGCUUAACUCUUACCUUUGUCAGAGAAUUUCUUAAGAAAAAUUCUCAAAGAUGUAUUGUCCUCU